CAUAGCCGCGGUAAUACGUAGGGUGCGAGCGUUAAUCGGAAUUACUGGGCGUAAAGCGUGCGCAGGCGGUUGUGUAAGACAGGUGUGAAAUCCCCGGGCUUAACCUGGGAACUGCAUUUGUGACUGUAGAGCUGGAGUGCGGCAGAGGGGGAUGGAAUUCCGCGUGUAGCAGUGAAAUGCGUAGAUAUGCGGAGGAACACCGAUGGCGAAGGCAGCCCCCUGGGCCAAUACUGACGCUCAUGCACGAAAGCGUGGGGAGCAAACAGGAUUAGAGACCCCUGUAGUCCCUGUCUCUUAUACC
This 301-nucleotide ribosomal RNA is filed under the name uncultured bacterium. RNAcentral's name for it is "partial 16S ribosomal RNA". It matches the Rfam family "Bacterial small subunit ribosomal RNA", at positions 512 to 808 of the family's 1533-position model. The record is from RNAcentral.